This 468-nucleotide ribosomal RNA is filed under the name uncultured bacterium. RNAcentral describes it as "partial 16S ribosomal RNA". It matches the Rfam family "Bacterial small subunit ribosomal RNA", at positions 28 to 507 of the family's 1533-position model. The record is from RNAcentral.
GACGAACGCUGGCGGCGUGCUUAACACAUGCAAGUCGAACGGAAAGGCCCUGCUUUUGUGGGCUGCUCGAGUGGCGAACGGGUGAGUAACACGUGAGUAACCUGCCCUUGACUUUGGGAUAACUUCAGGAAACUGGGGCUAAUACCGGAUAGGAGCUCCUGCUGCAUGGUGGGGGGUGGAAAGUUUCGGCGGUUGGGGAUGGGCUCGCGGCUUAUCAGCUUGUUGGUGGGGUAGUGGCUUACCAAGGCUUUGACGGGUAGCCGGCCUGAGAGGGUGACCGGCCACAUUGGGACUGAGAUACGGCCCAGACUCCUACGGGAGGCAGCAGUGGGGAAUAUUGCACAAUGGGCGGAAGCCUGAUGCAGCAACGCCGCGUGCGGGAUGACGGCCUUCGGGUUGUAAACCGCUUUCGCCUGUGACGAAGCGUGAGUGACGGUAACGGGUAAAGAAGCACCGGCUAACUACGUG